This 253-nucleotide ribosomal RNA is filed under the name uncultured bacterium. RNAcentral's name for it is "partial 16S ribosomal RNA". It matches the Rfam family "Bacterial small subunit ribosomal RNA", at positions 524 to 776 of the family's 1533-position model. The record is from RNAcentral.
UACGUAUGGUGCAAGCGUUAUCCGGAUUUACUGGGCGUAAAGGGAGCGCAGGCGGCGCGCCAAGUCUGAUGUGAAACCCCGGGGCUCAACCCCGGGCAUGCAUUGGAAACUGGCGGGCUGGAGUGCCGGAGAGGUAAGCGGAAUUCCUAGUGUAGCGGUGAAAUGCGUAGAUAUUAGGAGGAACACCAGUGGCGAGGGCGGCUUACUGGACGGCAACUGACGCUGAGGCUCGAAAGCGUGGGGAGCAAACAGG